GCCGUGUGGUUUCAUUUCAUUCGUCACUGAACUCUGGGCAAGCGGAAAAGAAGACCUUACAACGCUUCUGUAACGUGAAAAACCACACGGCCGGUGGAGAGGUUUGAACGUAUCUCGGAGCAUCGCAGCGUCUCGUGUGUCGCUCGCCGGGAGUCGAGUGAGGAGUGAAGUCAACCGCGGCUGGCCGGCCGAUCGUCACUUUGUUGUUGAUAGCGGGCGUUCGGCAUUCUCGGUCGCGGAGCAACUGAGGAAUCUGUUUAUCACGCGUAGCGGGGGCUCGGAGAUCGAUUCGAUCGGAAUGUGACACGUCGCUCGGACAAACGGAGAGUUUAUUUACUUCCGACAGCAGCCUCGUUCGGCAGACGACUUCGGACCGAGCACGGCGUCGAAUCUUCUCGAAGGUGAGAGAAUGCUCGCUUCUUCCUGUCUCCCGUCAUUCGGAACUGCGGAGGGUGAAUUACGUCAACAAAGAUGCGAAGCUGGUCGAGCUGCUGCCGCGGCCAACUCCACUCGAAACCGGACGUCGAACGAGGAAGACGACGUUGAGAGGUAAACGUGUGGAGCAAAGUGUCGCCCGCUUCAGGAAGAGAAUCGGCGGUCCACGUCCUGCGAUUCGGAGCUUCUUCACAUCGUAGAAUCGAGACUCUGGAUACAAGGCUGCGACUCGGAGCUUCUUCACAUCGUAGAAUCGAGACUCUGGAUACAAGGCUGCGAUGCGUCGAUUCCAAUACUGAGAAUUUUCACCGAGGAGGCGAUAGGAUACUCGGAGGACUUUUUGGUGCUCGAGAACACCGCCUGGAAAUCUGGGAUUCUCUGCUCGGCAGGUCAACUCUUUUGCAUCAUCCUCACGGCCGACAACCAGGGCCAACUUGCUCACGGUUGAAUUGCUUCGCUGAGUAGAGACGAUUGAAGGAUCUCGGAUUAGGUUUCCAUCCAGCAUCCAUACUAUCCUUGCGGCCGGUGAACUCCCCCAAGUUUCGCACCUCGCUCCCACCGGACGUCCUGCGUAGAUCACUUCCGUAUCAAGGACGAUCUUCACCACUGCGGGCUUUACUGAAAUGGAAUACGGAUUUAGAUUAUUCUUUUGAUCACAAGGUCAAUGGCAAUCUACCCCAAGACACUGAUCGAAGAUAAAUAUGGAAGAUGAUCAACGUAACCGUUGAAGAUUGGAUGCAUCGUUUUUCAUCGCAACCGAUCAGAGACGUCGAGCCUCGACUACGCUUAGUAGACACGCAAAAUUAAUUCGGCGUGUAGUUGGUGAAGGCUAUAAUAGUUGGAAAAUUCAAGGAAAUUCAGACUCCCAAAAAGCAUACGAAUCCUGUAAAGAGAAGGCUGAAGUGGAGGAUGAAAAACAGCGAAAAUCAGGGGUAAGAGACAAACCGCGAUUAAAGAACCGUCAAGGAAUGUCGCUGUCACGGGGUUGUCGGUCGCGCUGGCAGCGACUGCCGCUACACUAAAACUAAAACUGAAGACAUGUGUGCAGUCCCCACUCGUAAGAGUCCCUCGUGCAUCCAACACAAACCUCCUGACACGCACCCAUUUCCUCACGCACGUGCCACGACCACCAAUACUCAAAAUUAUAAUACAGAAAUACACGCGUGUCCGGCCUGCAGGCCUCUCUGCCUUCCUCAAUGCGUCAUCCCGCCGAUACGUCGAGGGGCACCGAAAUCUCGGAAGACCUGCAUCCAGAGUCAAAUUUGACCGUAUGGUAAUCUGCCAACUGCUCGAGGGAACCGAGUUAUAGAGACGGUGAAUUCGUGUUUAAUACUCACACGGUUGCCGGUCUUGGACUGCAGCUAUUUCCAGAGCCAAGCUGUGUGUGGAGGCCAGAAAUUUGGAUCCUGGAAGCAGAAGAACGGUUGAAGAAGCCAAAUUUUCGGGAUCACCGCCAUUCCGUAACUGUUACAGCUCAACUCACCGUCAAGAGGAUCUACCCAAAUACACAAAUCCUUGUCUUCCACUUCUUCGAGAUCCUGAGGAAGCCUUACGCCAAGAACCUGCUGAUCAGAGUCAGUUACCACCCAAUCGGAAGGGACUUCGCAGUUUGACGGUCCCUCUUCUCCGAUUAUAGCGACGUUGGGAAACUGCCUGCUGAGAGAAGCGACGAUACACCUUUGCGCCGAUCUGUCAGCUUCGGUUUGGGGAUCGUUCUUUCCCUUGUUCACUAUGUUCAGUUCGCCUCCGGUCAUCACGUCCCUGAUUAUCUUUCCGGCACGUCCAGCUACUGUCACUGAGGAUGCGACCACGCGCAAAAGAAGUGGAGCACUCUGCGCCAUAGCGAUGAAAUCGGAUGCCGGCUUGUCUGAUUG
Molecule: long non-coding RNA, 2309 nt
Filed under: Neodiprion lecontei (redheaded pine sawfly)
Lineage: Eukaryota; Metazoa; Arthropoda; Insecta; Hymenoptera; Diprionidae
Description: uncharacterized LOC107224685, transcript variant X8
Source: RNAcentral